Molecule: small nucleolar RNA, 97 nt
Organism: Perognathus longimembris pacificus (Pacific pocket mouse)
Lineage: Eukaryota; Metazoa; Chordata; Mammalia; Rodentia; Heteromyidae
Source: RefSeq, a predicted model, not a curated record
GCAUGCUUUGUUGAGCUGGGGUGCCAGAGCAUGGGAUCACACAUAACUGGAGAUACCUGCCACUUGUGGGUGAUCCUUUUAACUGCAAGCAACAGGG